Molecule: long non-coding RNA, 132 nt
Organism: Amblyraja radiata (thorny skate)
Lineage: Eukaryota; Metazoa; Chordata; Chondrichthyes; Rajiformes; Rajidae
Exons: 3
Source: RefSeq, a predicted model, not a curated record
UCGACCUAGUACGCGCUGAUCAGCAAUCACCCAGUGCACUAUCCUACACACUAGGGACAAUUUUACAACUUACCAAUGCCAAUUAACCUACAAACCUGUACGUCUUUGUAAUGUGGAAGGAAAUCGGAGCCA